UACUAGAGUAGCACUCGCAUAUCAAUAAGCGGAGGAAAAGAAACUAACAAGGACUCCCCUAGUAACGGCGAGUGAAGCGGGAAAAGCUCAAAUUUGAAAUCUUAAAGGGUUUCCCUUUACGAAUUGUAGUUUAAAGAAGUGUUUUCUGUUGAGGUUUUGGUAAAAGUUCUUUGGAAUAGGACAUCAUAGAGGGUGAGAAUCCCGUAUUUGACCUUUACUUUCAACUUUGUGAUACACUUUCAAAGAGUCGGAUUGUUUGGGAAUGCAGUCCAAAAUGGGUGGUAAAUUUCAUCUAAAGCUAAAUAUUGGCGAGAGACCGAUAGCGAACAAGUACCGUGAGGGAAAGAUGAAAGGAACUUUGAAAAGAGAGUUAAACAGUACGUGAAAUUGUCAAAAGGGAAGCGUUUGACACCAGUGUUGUUUUUCUGAAAAUCAAUUAAAGAACUGUUUAUGCUAAGCUGUUUAGACUUUAUCAGCUAACUGUUUAGUUUUGAGCUUUUCUUUAAUGCACUUUUCAGUUAACAAGUCAACAUCAAUUUCUUUUGCUGUAAAAAAGCUUGAGGAAGGUGGCUUGAGAUUCGUCUUAAGUGUUUAUAGCCUCUUGCCUAUGCAGUCGGAGAGAUUGAGGUCUGCAGCGUAGAUCCUUCGGGGCUAAAUGCAUUUGUGCUAAGUUAUAGCAUUUUAUAGACAACUUGUUGACUAUGAUUUGUCUUGUAGCUUACUCGCUUAUGUUAUUUUACCUACGCUUAGGAUGUUGAGCGCAUGUCUCUCUCU
This 774-nucleotide ribosomal RNA is filed under the name uncultured Neocallimastigales. Its description in RNAcentral is "partial large subunit ribosomal RNA". It matches the Rfam family "Eukaryotic large subunit ribosomal RNA", at positions 20 to 616 of the family's 3401-position model. The record is from RNAcentral. Lineage: Eukaryota; Fungi; Neocallimastigomycota; Neocallimastigomycetes; Neocallimastigales.